Molecule: ribosomal RNA, 555 nt
Filed under: Triticum aestivum (bread wheat)
Lineage: Eukaryota; Viridiplantae; Streptophyta; Magnoliopsida; Poales; Poaceae
Description: partial small subunit ribosomal RNA
Source: RNAcentral
UUCAUGGAGUACUUAGAUAAGUUUGUCGUGGUUUACCUCGAUGAUAUUCUUAUUUACUCGAAGAACGAGGAAGAGCAUGCCGAACAUCUUAGACUUGUGUUAGAAAAACUCAGAGAGCACCGCCUUUAUGCCAAGUUCUCCAAGUGUGAAUUUUGGUUGCCAGAAGUGACCUACCUAGGCCACGUAAUCUCUGGUAAGGGCAUUGCUGUCAAUCCCGAGAGAGUUCAAGCCGUUCUCGAUUGGACUCCACCUGAGACCGUUAAACAAGUUAGGAGUUUCCUUGGUCUAGCCAGCUAUUGUCGCCGCUUUGUUGAAAACUUCUCCAAAGUAGCCAAACCCCUCACGGAACUUCUCAAGAAAGAUAAAAAGUUUGAGUGGUCCCCACAGUGUGAGUACAGUUUUCAGGAACUGAAAAGACGCCUGACUUCUGCUCCCAUACUUGUGCCACCGGAUUUCACUAAAGACUUUAUUAUCUACUGCGACGCCUCACGACAAGGACUAGGUUGCAUUCUUAUGCAGGAUCGUCAUGUGAUUGCCUAUGCAUCUCGACAGUUG